GACGAACGCUGGCGGCGUGCUUAACACAUGCAAGUCGAACGGAAAGGCCCUGCUUUUGUGGGGUGCUCGAGUGGCGAACGGGUGAGUAACACGUGAGUAACCUGCCCUUGACUUUGGGAUAACUUCAGGAAACUGGGGCUAAUACCGGAUAGGAGCUCCUGCUGCAUGGUGGGGGUUGGAAAGUUUCGGCGGUUGGGGAUGGACUCGCGGCUUAUCAGCUUGUUGGUGGGGUAGUGGCCUACCAAGGCUUUGACGGGUAGCCGGCCUGAGAGGGUGACCGGCCACAUUGGGACUGAGAUACGGCCCAGACUCCUACGGGAGGCAGCAGUGGGGAAUAUUGCACAAUGGGCGGAAGCCUGAUGCAGCAACGCCGCGUGCGGGAUGACGGCCUUCGGGUUGUAAACCGCUUUCGCCUGUGACGAAGCGUGAGUGACGGUAAUGGGUAAAGAAGCACCGGCUAACUACGUGCCAGCAGCCGCGGUGAUACGUAGGGUGCGAGCGUUGUCCGGAUUUAUUGGGCGUAAAGGGCUCGUAGGUGGUUGAUCGCGUCGGAAGUGUAAUCUUGGGGCUUAACCCUGAGCGUGCUUUCGAUACGGGUUGACUUGAGGAAGGUAGGGGAGAAUGGAAUUCCUGGUGGAGCGGUGGAAUGCGCAGAUAUCAGGAGGAACACCAGUGGCGAAGGCGGUUCUCUGGGCCUUUCCUGACGCUGAGGAGCGAAAGCGUGGGGAGCGAACAGGCUUAGAUACCCUGGUAGUCCACGCUGUAAACGGUGGGUACUAGGUGUGGGGUCCAUUCCACGGGUUCCGUGCCGUAGCUAACGCUUUAAGUACCCCGCCUGGGGAGUACGGCCGCAAGGCUAAAACUCAAAGGAAUUGACGGGGCCCCGCACAAGCGGCGGAGCAUGCGGAUUAAUUCGAUGCAACGCGUAGAACCUUACCUGGGUUUGACAUGGAUCGGGAGUGCUCAGAGAUGGGUGUGCCUCUUUUGGGGUCGGUUCACAGGUGGUGCAUGGCUGUCGUCAGCUCGUGUCGUGAGAUGUUGGGUUAAGUCCCGCAACGAGCGCAACCCUUGUUCACUGUUGCCAGCACGUUAUGGUGGGGACUCAGUGGAGACCGACGGGGUCAACUCGGAGGAAGGUGGGGAUGACGUCAAGUCAUCAUGCCCCUUAUGUCCAGGGCUUCACGCAUGCUACAAUGGCUGGUACAGAGAGUGGCGAGCCUGUGAGGGUGAGCGAAUCUCGGAAAGCCGGUCUCAGUUCGGAUUGGGGUCUGCAACUCGACCUCAUGAAGUCGGAGUCGCUAGUAAUCGUAGAUCAGCAACGCUGCGGUGAAUACGUUCCCGGGACU
RNAcentral lists this ribosomal RNA (1346 nucleotides) under uncultured bacterium. RNAcentral's name for it is "partial 16S ribosomal RNA". It matches the Rfam family "Bacterial small subunit ribosomal RNA", at positions 28 to 1381 of the family's 1533-position model. The record is from RNAcentral.